AUGUAGGGGUAUAAGGUAAAACUUUCCGUAUUUCUCUUCAAACACCCGACCUUAUAUGGGACUCCGUCGCUCCGGAGGUGGCGGAGUGGUCCAAACAACAAAUUACCAUCUCCAAACACAUUCAUUUCUAAACCCUCUCCCUCAAUUUCUAAUGAUUAUUUUACCCCGAGCUUAAAUCGAAACCCAAAACUAUGAACCCUAACAAACAAAAUCUUAAAUUAAAUCAUAAACGCGCCUCAAUACAAUCCAACACGAAGGGGUUAAUAUCCGUAUACACCUACGCAACAAUUUGGUAACGAUAAUUAAAUAGAAUUAGGGAUAUUGAAGGAACCCUACCGGAGCAGCUUGGAGUCGAAGGUGUGUGAGCUUUAAACAAGGUUGAUGUUUGAUAUUCUAUUUGGAACCAUGGUGUAAGGCUUGAAAUCAUGCUUUUGAAGUCUUGUUAUGCUAUCAUGUGGAGUUUGGCUCAUGGAAUUGGAUAUGGAUUUUGGAUGACAUUAUGGAGCUUGUUGGGCAUGGUUUGGACUUGGUUGAAGAAUGCUCCCUUAUGUAGUUUCUUUUGUAAUAUUUGAAUUGUUCAUUGUAAUAUGAAAACAUGUAUACUAUUGGUUUGAAAUAAAUUGGAAUUUGAAUGUAAUUUUGAAGCUAUAUGGAAAUGUAUGUGGUGAACUUGAAGUUGUAAUGAAAAUUGAUUUGAAUGAAGCUUGAAAUUUGAAAAGAAA
Molecule: long non-coding RNA, 722 nt
Organism: Lathyrus oleraceus (garden pea)
Lineage: Eukaryota; Viridiplantae; Streptophyta; Magnoliopsida; Fabales; Fabaceae
Exons: 2
Source: RefSeq, a predicted model, not a curated record